Molecule: ribosomal RNA, 253 nt
Filed under: uncultured bacterium
Lineage: Bacteria
Description: partial 16S ribosomal RNA
Rfam family: Bacterial small subunit ribosomal RNA
Source: RNAcentral
UACAGAGGGGGCAAGCGUUGUUCGGAAUUACUGGGCGUAAAGGGCGCGUAGGCGGCCAACUAAGUCAGACGUGAAAUCCCCAGGCUCAACCUGGGAACUGCGUCUGAUACUGGAUGGCUCGAGUUCGGGAGAGGGAAGUGGAAUUCCAGGUGUAGCGGUGAAAUGCGUAGAUAUCAGGAGGAACACCGGCGGCGAAGGCGGUGCUCUGGGCCAGUAUUGACGCUGAGGAGCGAAAGCGUGGGUAGCAAACAGG